AUUGAACGCUGGCGGCAGGCCUAACACAUGCAAGUCGAACGAGUGGCGGACGGGUGAGUAAUGUCUGGGAAACUGCCUGAUGGAGGGGGAUAACUACUGGAAACGGUAGCUAAUACCGCAUACCAUCAGAUGUGCCCAGAUGGGAUUAGCUAGUUGGUGGGGUAACGGCUCACCAAGGCGACGAUCCCUAGCUGGUCUGAGAGGAUGACCAGCCACACUGGAACUGAGACACGGUCCAGACGCCUACGUGAGGCAGCAGUGGGGAAUAUUGCACAAUGGGCGCAAGCCUGAUGCAGCCAUGCCGCGGGUAUGAAGAAGGCCUUCGGGUUGUAAAGUACUUUCAGCGGGGAGGCGGUAGCAGAAGAAGAAGCACCGGCUAACUCCGUGCCAGCAGCCGCGGUAAUAG
This 406-nucleotide ribosomal RNA is filed under the name uncultured bacterium. RNAcentral's name for it is "partial 16S ribosomal RNA". It matches the Rfam family "Bacterial small subunit ribosomal RNA", at positions 30 to 526 of the family's 1533-position model. The record is from RNAcentral.